RNAcentral lists this long non-coding RNA (1051 nucleotides) under Meleagris gallopavo (turkey). RNAcentral describes it as "lncRNA (ENSMGAG00000019174.1)". Lineage: Eukaryota; Metazoa; Chordata; Aves; Galliformes; Phasianidae. The record is from RNAcentral.
GAGGUGGGCAGUGGGCAGGUGGGGUGAGGUUGGGUUUGGAGAUCAUCGCUGGAACAUAGAAUGAAUCAUAUGUUUCUAUGAUGAUUUCCAAACCCAACCCAGAUCUCAGAAAUCUCAGAGAUCUCCUCCAACCUUCAUGGUCCUGUGGUUCUGUGUUGGCUCUGCCCCCGCUCAGAAGAUCCUCCUUAUUUCUGGAAUCACUUCCUCUUACCCUUUGCUUUUGUGUUGUUUUUUUUCUCCUUUACCUGUAGGGUACUUUAAUGUCUCAGCAAGUGUAGUUAUUUAAUUUCUCAGCAAGUACAGAAUGACACAGAUUAAAUUCAUAAUGAUUUUUUUUUUAUUUUUUAUUUAUUUAUUUUUUUAAGGUAAAGAGAAGUGUUUUAGCCUGUGUCGAUCUACGUCAUUAAAGUACCGCUUCAGUCUCCUAUUCACGGCUCUCUCUCUUCAGCCUCCCAUCCCCCGGGAUGCUGCGGGACGGGGCGCGGUGCGGGGCUUGAUGGAGGCGGGGCUGGGAGCUCCGGAGCGGGGCGGGCUGAUGGGAGGUGGAGGAGCUUCCCAUCAGCAUCCUCAGCUGAGCCCGGCGGGACGGAGGGUCGGCUCUGCACGGGGCUCAGAGCCGCUCUGCCCUCACUGCUGAUCUGCAGAACUCGGAGCGCUGAAGGAGCCGCGGAUUUACGCUGUGGCGGAUGGUUUGGGUUUGACUUGAAGCUGUGGAGCUCGGCGGGAUGCUCUGCGUGGAGUUGGUGCGUGAGACACUGAGCUGGACAUGAGUGGGAUGGCGUCGGACCGCAACUCCUCCUCCCAGGAAGAAUACCUCCCACACUACGUGCAGCAGGAAGACCCCUUUGCAUCAAAGCUCUCUAGAGAAGCUGACAUCAUAGCUGGGUUUUAUUUAACAGUAAUUGGUAAUGAGUUUUUAUUUCAUGUUUGAAACACAGCUGUAGUGAUAGUGAUAGGACAAGGGGAAUGGUUUUAAAGUGAGCCAGGGGAGGUUUAGGUUGGAUGUGAGGAGGAAGUUUUUCAUGCAGAGGGUGGUGAGGCAGUGGAACAG